GGCUUACCAAGGCGACGAUGCGUAGCCGACCUGAGAGGGUGAUCGGCCACACUGGGACUGAGACACGGCCCAGACUCCUACGGGAGGCAGCAGUAGGGAAUCUUCCGCAAUGGACGAAAGUCUGACGGAGCAACGCCGCGUGAGUGAUGAAGGUUUUCGGAUCGUAAAACUCUGUUGUUAGGGAAGAACAAGUGCCAUAGUAACUGAUGGCACCUUGACGGUACCUAACCAGAAAGCCACGGCUAACUACGUGCCAGCAGCCGCGGUAAUACGUAGGUGGCAAGCGUUGUCCGGAAUUAUUGGGCGUAAAGCGCUCGCAGGCGGUUCUUUAAGUCUGAUGUGAAAUCUUACGGCUCAACCGUAAACGUGCAUUGGAAACUGGGGAACUUGAGUGCAGAAGAGGAGAGUGGAAUUCCACGUGUAGCGGUGAAAUGCGUAGAGAUGUGGAGGAACACCAGUGGCGAAGGCGACUCUCUGGUCUGUAACUGACGCUGAGGAGCGAAAGCGUGGGGAGCGAACAGGAUUAGAUACCCUGGUAGUCCACGCCGUAAACGAUGAGUGCUAGGUGUUAGGGGGUUUCCGCCCCUUAGUGCUGAAGUUAACGCAUUAAGCACUCCG
RNAcentral lists this ribosomal RNA (618 nucleotides) under Oceanobacillus sp. RNAcentral describes it as "bacterial SSU rRNA". It matches the Rfam family "Bacterial small subunit ribosomal RNA", at positions 262 to 871 of the family's 1533-position model. The record is from RNAcentral. Lineage: Bacteria; Bacillati; Bacillota; Bacilli; Caryophanales; Bacillaceae.